This 484-nucleotide ribosomal RNA is filed under the name uncultured bacterium. RNAcentral's name for it is "partial 16S ribosomal RNA". It matches the Rfam family "Bacterial small subunit ribosomal RNA", at positions 30 to 507 of the family's 1533-position model. The record is from RNAcentral.
AUUGAACGCUGGCGGCAGGCCUAACACAUGCAAGUCGAGCGGAUGAAGGGAGCUUGCUCCUGGAUUCAGCGGCGGACGGGUGAGUAAUGCCUAGGAAUCUGCCUGGUAGUGGGGGAUAACGUCCGGAAACGGGCGCUAAUACCGCAUACGUCCUGAGGGAGAAAGUGGGGGAUCUUCGGACCUCACGCUAUCAGAUGAGCCUAGGUCGGAUUAGCUAGUUGGUGGGGUAAAGGCCUACCAAGGCGACGAUCCGUAACUGGUCUGAGAGGAUGAUCAGUCAACACUGUAAUGAGAACACGUCCAGACUUCUUAGGGAGGGAAGAGUUGGGAAUAUUAGGACAUGGGCGGAAGCCUUAUCCAAGCCUGGCGCGUUGGUUGAAGAGGGCUUCCGGUUGUUAAGGACCUUUAAGUGGGGGGAAAGGAAGUAAGUUAAUACCUUGCUGUUUUGACGUUACCAACAGAAUAAGCACCGGCUAACUUCGUG